GGCAGAAGGGACGUCCCCAAAUGACACUCGGAGGCCGCCUCCCUGGGCUCCGGUGCUCGGUGCCGGGAGGAGCGGCACGGCUUUCUACCCCGCCUCAGGUGCGCCAGCACGUUUUCUGGGCAGCAUCUGUGUGUUAGGCGACCGGAGAGGUGGGUUCCUUAUAGGGAAUAAGAAAACUGAAACUGACUUCCAACUGCAGGCAGAAGGAAGCAGUGGUCAUUGCUGGAGGUUAAAACUGUUCUGACCGGGCGCAGUGGCUCACGCCUGUAUUCCCAGCACUUUGGGAGGCUGAGGCGAGCAGAUCACGAAGUCAGGAGAUCAAGACCAUCCUGGCCAACAAGGUGAAACCCCGGCUCUACUAAAAAUACAAAAAUUAGCUGGGCGUGGUGGCGCGCGCCGGAAGUCCCAGCUACUUGGGAGGAUGAGGCAGAAGAAUCGCUUGAACCCGGGAGGCGGAGGUUGCGGUGAGCCGAGAUCGCGCCAUUGCACUCCAGCCUGGCGACUCAGCGAUACUCCGUCCCCCUCUCCCCGCCCCAAGAAAAAUCUGUUCAGUGGGGAGCGACAAGGAAGGAGCUUUCAGCCCGACUGGGGUCGCAGGGAAGAAUUCAAGAUGGCGUGUUUAGGAGCUCUAGCUCCUUGACAAAUUAGUAAAAUGUUAGUCUUAGGAGAAGAACGAAAAGGCUCUCCUAGGCUAAGAAACAGCAUACACAGUGAGAAACCUCAGAAGAAAUAAAAUUCAAGGAAGAUAGCAACAACGAAAACAUCAGAAGGAACACUAAAGCUAAAUGGAAAUGACUUUUGAAUUAUCUGCUUUGGAAGAUUAUCCAUGACACUGUUCUGCCCUGCUCUGCUCUAACAACAUUUUGCUAUUAUGCCUGCCUGAAAUGCCUUCUUUCCUCUUAACUCUGCGAAGCCUGUUCAUUUUUAAGACCCAGAUCAAGACUGCCUCCUCCAUGAAGAAACCGCUGACUAUUCAGGCUGACAAUUUUCUCUCCAUCCUCUGAAUUUCUCUAGCACUUAUCACCUGUAGAACUCAUUAAAAAUCAUGUACUGGUAAAGUUGAAAGCAGCUGGAGACCAUUUAAUCUAAAACCCUCAUUCUUUUGCCAUUGACAUUGUUGGCAUUAUUACAAAAACCCCUGCUAUUUAUCAUUUUUAUUGAUAUUAAACUUUCUACACUCCUAAUUUCUGUCUCUUCAAAUGUGUUUUCUCAAGGAUAGGAGAUAAAGCCUACACAUCCACAGCAGAUUAUCAUCACUUCCAUUUAUUGGGAUUUGUGACCUUUAAGUCAUUGUGCUAGGUCCUUCAUCUAUAUUACA
Molecule: long non-coding RNA, 1318 nt
Filed under: Homo sapiens (human)
Lineage: Eukaryota; Metazoa; Chordata; Mammalia; Primates; Hominidae
Description: HSALNT0295417
Source: RNAcentral